GAUGAACGCUGGCGGCGUGCCUAAUACAUGCAAGUCGAGCGAACGGACGAGAAGCUUGCUUCUCUGAUGUUAGCGGCGGACGGGUGAGUAACACGUGGAUAACCUACCUAUAAGACUGGGAUAACUUCGGGAAACCGGAGCUAAUACCGGAUGAUAUUUUGAACCGCAUGGUUCAAAAGUGAAAGACGGUCUUGCUGUCACUUAUAGAUGGAUCCGCGCUGCAUUAGCUAGUUGGUAAGGUAACGGCUUACCAAGGCAACGAUGCAUAGCCGACCUGAGAGGGUGAGCGGCCACACUGGAACUGAGACACGGUCCAGACUCCUACGGGAGGCAGCAGUAGGGAAUCUUCCGCAAAGGGCGAAAGCCUGACGGAGCAACGCCGCGUGAGUGAUGAAGGUCUUCGGAUCGUAAAACUCUGUUAUUAGGGAAGAACAUAUGUGUAAGUAACUGUGCACAUCUUGACGGUACCUAAUCAGAAAGCCACGGCUAACUACGUG
This 497-nucleotide ribosomal RNA is filed under the name uncultured bacterium. Its description in RNAcentral is "partial 16S ribosomal RNA". It matches the Rfam family "Bacterial small subunit ribosomal RNA", at positions 28 to 507 of the family's 1533-position model. The record is from RNAcentral.